This 1749-nucleotide long non-coding RNA is filed under the name Mytilus galloprovincialis (Mediterranean mussel). Lineage: Eukaryota; Metazoa; Mollusca; Bivalvia; Mytilida; Mytilidae. The record is from RNAcentral.
CUUUUUUUAAGCAACGGACAAACUUUUUAAACCUUAUUUAUUUAUAUAUUGUUUGUUUUCUAUAUUUCUAAAUAAUUUAUUCAAUUUAUGAAUCGCAGACAUUUCAAAUUUAUUAAGGUGAAGUUUCAUUCUGAUGCUAAUAAAGAAAGUUAUAAGAAUAAUUAAUUCAAUGUAUUAUAUUAUCAUUGUAUGUACGUAUGGCCUGAGAAUAUUGUCUAGAUACAACAUCAGCAUACGAUGGGCAUGAUGCGACGUGAACCGCUAAAAUAUAAGAACAAGAGAAGGUAAUGGUUUGAGCGUUAUAAAAGCAUAAGAUUUGUUAAAACAGGCUAUUUGCUACCUUUAUUUGUAAAGGUUCAGUUAAUCUUUUAGAAAGUUUUAUUUGUACAUAACCUUUCCCACUAGAUGCAUCUACCAUAUACUUUAUAGGGGAUAUGAAUUUUUCUUUACCAUGAACUCACUGCAUAUUUCGGCUUUAUUUUCAUCGACACUAUAUACAAUGUUUGCCGAAAAAAAUAAAAGUUCAAAUUACACUGGAACAUUAUGUCAAAGUAAGUCAAAAUAACACAUCAAUAAUUCAAAUCAUUAAAAUACAGCGUCUCAAACAACAUAAGGACUUAAGUCAUAACAUACUUAAAAGUAUCAAGGUGUUUUAAUAUUACAUAUUAUACACAUUCAAGUGUGUUAAUAACUGAUUUUGAGGUAUGUAUUCAAAGGGGAGAAACCGCAAAAAGUUCAUCUUUUUAUUAGACUAAUUUGAGAUAUUGUAACUUAAAAAAAAACCUAUGCAUAAUACGUUUAACAGGUUUGUUAUAAAUCAUAUCAUUACCGAAGUACUAACAAUUGAGUUGUAAUUCUAUCCGGGACAGCGAAGGUAUCGUCUUAGUGUUGUUAAAAUGAAAAAAAAUGCGUUGUACAUUUCGUGUCUAAAACAAUUUUCUCGAUUAACCUUAUCAAGGAAACGCUUAGAGCCGACAACUUGGGACGGAUGUUAAAAAAUGAAACAGUUAAUGAACUGCAUUGCCAAAGUAUCAAUUAAAUAUGCUUGCAUUAAUUAAUAAAAGCAAACAUUGUGAAUCUCAUGAAUAGUAUUUACAUAAGGGGGAAGAUGCAACCGUUUAUGUUGUUGUUCUGUAUACACAUGUUUUACUGUACCCCGUAACUUCCUUAUCAUUAUUUCAUAACUGCUGUAAAUGUCCUUUGGUUUUGUGAGUCUUUGUUUACUCCUUGGUUUUGAUUGUGAAUGUCUUCUCUUUGUGACACAAUCUACUGACAUCUAAUGCAACAGUACAUUUUGAGAUACUUGUGCACUGUUAUAAGAAUUACUGUCAUUUUUUUGUCAAGGGAAAGUGUGAUUGAUCAAAGAAAUUGAAAAAUUUCGCACAUUAUCACUAAGUCUCAACAGAUAACUUGUUGAUUUUAAAUAGAAUACCGUUACGUUCAUAGUCGUGCUUUUAUAACUCUGAACUAAUGAAAACAACAGCACAGGACAUAUUGCAAUAUAAAGUAUUCCUUUAUUCGCCAUGUUUUGUUUUCACGAUUUUUGAAUGGUAAAUUAACUUGCUUUAACGUAUAUUUAUCUUUUUCUACCAUUUCUUUUGUGCAGUACUAGUCCCCAUAAAAGAAGCAAGAACAGAAUGUAGGCAUGUUUGAAUGGUUGAGGAACAUACCCUAGCAACAUCCUAUAAAGUACAAGAACAAACAAAAAAAUUAACAUAUGGAAAUUGUUUUUAAAAUAUUUCACUGGUG